This 481-nucleotide ribosomal RNA is filed under the name uncultured bacterium. RNAcentral's name for it is "partial 16S ribosomal RNA". It matches the Rfam family "Bacterial small subunit ribosomal RNA", at positions 29 to 506 of the family's 1533-position model. The record is from RNAcentral.
AUUGAACGCUGGCGGCAUGCUUUACACAUGCAAGUCGAACGGUAACAGCCCGCCAGGUGCUGCCGAGUGGCGUACGGGUGGGUAAUGCAUCCGAACGUGCCCAGCCGCUGGGGAUAACUGCUCGUAAGAGUGGCUAAUACCGCAUACGAUCUAUGGAUGAAAGCGGGGGACCGUACGGCCUCGCGCGAUUGGUUCGGCCGAUGUCAGAGUAGGUAGAUGGUGGGGUAAAGGCUCACCAAGCCAACGAUCUGUAGCUGGUCUGAGAGGACGAGCAGCCACACGGGGGAGAGGAUGCGCACCAGACCCGGGAGGGAGGCACCGGGGGGAAUUUUUGGGCAGGGGGCGGAGGCCUGAACCAGAAAAGCGGCGAGAAGGAAGAAGGCCUUCGGGUUGUAAACUGCUUAUGUACGGAACGAAACGGCUCUGGUUACUACCCGGGGCUAAGAACGGUACCGUAAAAAUAGGCACGGGCUAACUACGG